RNAcentral lists this long non-coding RNA (494 nucleotides) under Nicotiana benthamiana. Its description in RNAcentral is "long non-coding RNA (NBEN_LNC015357)". The record is from RNAcentral. Lineage: Eukaryota; Viridiplantae; Streptophyta; Magnoliopsida; Solanales; Solanaceae.
AGAAAUAUUGUAGUAAUUUUCUUCAGUACAUUAGAUGAAACCAAAAUAAACUUACUGACAGCGAGAAGCAAAAUGGAUACUGUUGAUGAGUUUCCUGUUAUUUUCUUCACUCCCAAACACAUACGGAGAGAGAUGCGCAACAAAAAUUUGAUAAAUUUCUUAUCUUGUUUCUCCAUGUUAUGCUGUUGGCGGGUUUACAUAACACAAAUAAAUUCAGAACAAAACAUAAUAGAGGAGAAAAAUUUACCAGGUUGAGAUGAGAAAAUUUGGAAGCCUCAAAGCAGAGAGAAACAUAGAAGGAGAAAGAGAGGACGUUCUGGAGGUUUGUUCGGGACAAUGAUCCGACGAUUCUCUGCUGUACUUUGUUAUCCCAGUCGAAAUCGCGUUGGAAAAUUUUCGGGUGUUUGUGAGAUAUUUGGUCAGUGAUGAUUUCGAUCAAAAUCAAGUGUUGAUCUGAGACCUUUAUCACUGAUAACUGGUUGCAUCUUCACUAC